Molecule: long non-coding RNA, 712 nt
Filed under: Olea europaea (common olive)
Lineage: Eukaryota; Viridiplantae; Streptophyta; Magnoliopsida; Lamiales; Oleaceae
Description: long non-coding RNA (OEUR_LNC005592)
Source: RNAcentral
CCUAAAAACGUAAUUCAAUAUCCCCAAUUCCAAAAGACAAACAAUCUUUUCCCACCGGAGGCUUCUCCUCUUUAGAAUUUGUUGUUAUAACAUGCAUUGCAAAUUCUGCAUCUGGAACCAUAUUCGUUGGUGGGGGUCUUAGAAAUUGAUUGUUGUUCCUCAGUUGAAUAAUCGAUCGGAACUAGAGGUCUCGUCAUAUUUUCCUUGUGCGCAUCUCGCCCUCAUCUUCGUAUAACAAUUUAAUUUUGUGGAAGAAGUAAGAUCCUAUAGCAAUCAAUGAUCUCAGCUUUUGGGCUUUGUUUAUUUUUAAUGUUUUUCAUUUGCAUUUUUUGAAUUUAAGACAGCUUCAAUUGUAGUUCAGUUUCAAGGUUUUUUUCUGGACAAUGAAAGUUUCAACUGACAUUAAAUGUUGCGUAUGUAUUAAGUUGUGUUGUACUUCGAGUUUGUGGUUGGAUAUGCUUUUGUUCAACAUGUAAUUUAUGGGAAUGUUCAAAAUGGUUUGCUGUGUAAUCUUUCCAUUUGUUUAGUCAUUAGCAAAUGAUGAAUGGGGGUUGGCUACCUGUUUCUUUUUGUGAUUACUGCAGGAGCAUAGUUGUUUGAAAAAGGUAACAAAUUGGUCUCCAUUAGUUGAAGUGGAACUUAAAUGAGGAGCAAAGAGCAUGUUGGCAAUGUGAUUAGGUUUAGUUUGAACCUUAUAAUGUAAAUAAUUGAC